Molecule: ribosomal RNA, 589 nt
Filed under: Nostoc paludosum
Lineage: Bacteria; Bacillati; Cyanobacteriota; Cyanophyceae; Nostocales; Nostocaceae
Description: bacterial SSU rRNA
Rfam family: Bacterial small subunit ribosomal RNA
Source: RNAcentral
GGAAACGGUGGCUAAUACCCGGAUGUGCCGAAAGGUGAAAGGCUUGCUGCCUAGAGAUGAGCUCGCGUCUGAUUAGCUAGUAGGUGUGGUAAGAGCGCACCUAGGCGACGAUCAGUAGCUGGUCUGAGAGGAUGAUCAGCCACACUGGGACUGAGACACGGCCCAGACUCCUACGGGAGGCAGCAGUGGGGAAUUUUCCGCAAUGGGCGAAAGCCUGACGGAGCAAUACCGCGUGAGGGAGGAAGGCUCUUGGGUUGUAAACCUCUUUUCUCAGGGAAUAAAAAAAUGAAGGUACCUGAGGAAUCAGCAUCGGCUAACUCCGUGCCAGCAGCCGCGGUAAUACGGAGGAUGCAAGCGUUAUCCGGAAUGAUUGGGCGUAAAGCGUCCGCAGGUGGCUGUGUAAGUCUGCUGUUCAAGAGCAAAGCUUAACUUUGUAAAAGCACGUGGAAACUACACACCUAGAGUGCGUCUCGGGGCACAGGGAAUUACUGGUGUAACGCUCGGAAUUCGUACAGACUCAGGAACAACACCGGUUGGCUAAGGCGCUCCUGCUAAGCCGCCACUCGACACUUCCUGGACGACAAGCUAC